This is a long non-coding RNA of Musa acuminata subsp. malaccensis (wild Malaysian banana), 1107 nucleotides long. RefSeq lists it as uncharacterized. Lineage: Eukaryota; Viridiplantae; Streptophyta; Magnoliopsida; Zingiberales; Musaceae. The record is from RefSeq and is a predicted model, not a curated record.
ACCCUUUUCUCUACGAGCUAUGUUGUUAUGUUUAAGUACAUCCUUGUGGUGGAGUGGGCUUGGAUCAAUGCACGCCCGGUUUCCAGCAUUGAUUUCCUUUGAGACAUAAAUGGGGGCUGCAAAGCGUACUUUUUUUGUACCUUUUAUUGUUUUCUUGUUCUUUUGGUAUCCCUGGGUCUGGGCCGAUGGUCAUGAGUGACGAUAGGAGGGAGGUGUACACGGCCUUGCGUCAUUGGAAAUGUUGUUUUAAUUUUACUGUUUUAUUGGUCCUUUUGAUCGUUUGUUUGCUUUUUCUGGACAAUCAGGAUGCAUGAAAUCUAAUCCGGUUUGAGUGCCUUUUAGCACUGGAAUUACCGAGAGAAGAUUGAUAUUGUACAGCUAGAACAUGGGGUCAAUGGGCUGGAACCAGUUGUAGUUGCUAAUUUUCCAAUAAAGAAAUUUGGUGACCAGUCCCUUGCAUUGGGCCAGGAGGCACAUUGAGGUGUACCAAGAGACGGAUGUUUUGCGCAUUCUUCCAUCUUGUGGCCAUACAUUCCAUGUUACUUGCAUAGACAUGGCUGAAACAACAUUCAACAUGCCCUGUCUGUAGAAUUUCAUUGCGAGAUUCUCCUGAUAGAGAACAUGCACUGUGACCUCUCUACAGUUCAGCCACCAGAACCUUUUCUCACCCUGAAACCUUUGUUGCAGAUCCAUGCCACUAUCAAUUUGCACAGUCAUGUUACUCUCCAAGGGUAGCAGAAAACCAGAGAACCGUCUCCCCUCAGGAAGACCAGUUGAUGUCAUUGCCAUCCGGAUCCAGUUAUAAUGCCUUCUUGAUCUGUAGCCAACUGCUUCAUAUCAAGCAAAAUCAAGAUACAUCAAGAAUCUACAAAAUUCUUUGCCACUCAAAUAACAGGAAAUAGGAUAUGCUUGAGAUUGAUCUCCAUGCCAAAUACAUAGGGAUUGAAGGGAUUUAGAAGCUAACAUCAUAUCUGUACAACUGUUUGUCGUGAGCUGCAUGCUGCUUUUUAUCCGGCAUGAUGUUUGAGGGUCAGUUGUUGGAGAUUGUUGAAAUGGGUGGUUUUUGGUAUUCUGCUAUAAAAUCAUGAAUUUUGAUGGUAUAUACUU